This 235-nucleotide long non-coding RNA is filed under the name Glycine max (soybean). RNAcentral describes it as "long non-coding RNA (GMAX_LNC004713)". The record is from RNAcentral. Lineage: Eukaryota; Viridiplantae; Streptophyta; Magnoliopsida; Fabales; Fabaceae.
UCAAAAUCUGCAAACAACACCACACAAAAAGAGAAAAGAGGGUUCGAGACCCACGGUGAACCCACCGCACAAGAUUCUGACCCUGUGGCGAUCGCGGAUGAUGGCGUCGUGGUCAUUCACACGAUAGAGGAUAAGGAUCACAGUGGUGAGGGCGAUUUAGCGAACAGGUUCAGGGAAGGGUUUCAUGUGACGGGGUGUUUUUGGCUUGCGGUGGUUACGAUUGGAUAUAAGUGAA